GUACUGGAAAAUUCGGAGGUACACGGUACCGUCGUCCUUCGUGAUCAGAGAGCCAGGUACCAUGUUCACUCCUCAGAUCAGUCAAGAAGAAGGCCCCAUCUUUGUAAUGAAUACGGGCGUGCUUUUCUGAAACCUGAGGCAACGGUAUAGCAAUCGAUAACCCUGAAUCUACUUCUUGCUCCACACUUCCAAUCAAGCAGGGCUGGUUCUCGUCU
RNAcentral lists this unclassified non-coding RNA (215 nucleotides) under Hevea brasiliensis (rubber tree). Lineage: Eukaryota; Viridiplantae; Streptophyta; Magnoliopsida; Malpighiales; Euphorbiaceae. The record is from RNAcentral.